Molecule: long non-coding RNA, 321 nt
Filed under: Cottoperca gobio
Lineage: Eukaryota; Metazoa; Chordata; Actinopteri; Perciformes; Bovichtidae
Description: lncRNA (ENSCGOG00000015638.1)
Source: RNAcentral
AUGCUGAAAGCAAGAAGAAAAAGAAAAGAAUCAAGGAAGAAGGGGACAAAGAUAAGAAUGACAAGAGCCGUAAAAGAAAAAGGAAGGCCGAGCGGAGUUACAGAGACUCCUCUUCAGAGUCGUUUGCAGAAUCUGAGGGGGAAGAGGCCAAGAAGAAAAAGAGAAGUAGCGAGGAAAAGGAGAGAAUCACAGACACAUCCAAGAAGAAGAGGAAAAAGAAGCACAAGAAACACGGCAGAAAAAAGAAAAAGAAGGCAGCAUCUCAGUCCGACUUGGAGCUCGACUAAGAACCGUAGCUGUACGGUUCUCUCAUCCUUCUGA